RNAcentral lists this ribosomal RNA (497 nucleotides) under uncultured bacterium. Its description in RNAcentral is "partial 16S ribosomal RNA". It matches the Rfam family "Bacterial small subunit ribosomal RNA", at positions 28 to 507 of the family's 1533-position model. The record is from RNAcentral.
GACGAACGCUGGCGGCGUGCCUAAUACAUGCAAGUUGAGCGAUGAAGAUUGGUGCUUGCACCAAUUUGAAGAGCAGCGAACGGGUGAGUAACGCGUGGGGAAUCUGCCUUUGAGCGGGGGACAACAUUUGGAAACGAAUGCUAAUACCGCAUAAUAACUUUAAACAUAAGUUUUAAGUUUGAAAGAUGCAAUUGCAUCACUCAAAGAUGAUCCCGCGUUGUAUUAGCUAGUUGGUGAGGUAAAGGCUCACCAAGGCGAUGAUACAUAGCCGACCUGAGAGGGUGAUCGGCCACAUUGGGACUGAGACACGGCCCAAACUCCUACGGGAGGCAGCAGUAGGGAAUCUUCGGCAAUAGACGAAAGUCUGACCGAGCAACGCCGCGUGAGUGAAGAAGGGUGUCGGAUCGUAAAACUCUGUUGGUAGAGAAGAACGUUGGUGAGAGUGGAAAGCUCAUCAAGUGACGGUAACUACCCAGAAAGGGACGGCUAACUACGUG